GAUUUCCUACGGAGCAGCAGUGGGGAAUAUUGGACAAUGGGCGAAAGCCUGAUCCAGCCAUGCCGCGUGAGUGAUGAAGCCUUAGGUUGUAAGCUCUUUCGCUAGGGAAGAUAAUGACGGUACCUAGUAAAGAAGCCCGGCUAACUUCGUGCCAGCAGCCGCGGUAAUACGAAGGGGGCUAACGUUGUUCGGAUUUACUGGGCGUAAAGCGCACGUAGGCGGAUUAGCAAGUUAGGGGUGAAAUUCCGGAGCUCAACUCCGGAACUGCCUUUAAAACUGCUAGUCUAGAGAUCGGGAGAGGUGUAUGGAACUCCUAGUGUAGAGGUGGAAUUCGUAGAUAUUAGGAAGAACACCAGUGGCGAAAGCGGCACACCAGUGGCGAAAGCGACACACCAGUGGCGAAAGCGGCA
RNAcentral lists this ribosomal RNA (410 nucleotides) under uncultured Alphaproteobacteria bacterium. RNAcentral's name for it is "bacterial SSU rRNA". It matches the Rfam family "Bacterial small subunit ribosomal RNA", at positions 333 to 764 of the family's 1533-position model. The record is from RNAcentral. Lineage: Bacteria; Pseudomonadati; Pseudomonadota; Alphaproteobacteria.